UCCCAGAUCCGAGCUUGAUGACGACUCCGGUCACCGGUAGCGGCACAUCGAGGCAUAGCUUGAAGGACCUCGGCGCCUCCAUGGCUACUCCAGAUUGCAACGGGGGAGAGAGAGAUAUUCAGACAAGUUGUAAGAAGCAGGAGGAAGGAAAUGGACGAUGGGGAGGGAGACGACCUGCUGGGCACCGGUGAUGCGGGGGGUCCGGCGAAGACGCGGCCUAGCCGCCGGCUACGGGUCCAAUGGCCGGGUCUGACGCUGCGAGCUACGUUCGUUCCCUGACAGAGAAGGGGAAAAAACUAGGAGAGAGAGAGAGAUUAGAGGAGGAAGGAGAUGGGAAGGAGCAGGAGGAAGAGAGCACGGGACGGCGGGGUACUGGCCUGGGUGUGGUGCUGCUCCGGCGGCAUCGGUCGCCGGUGCGGCUGCCGACGAGGCUGGCCUCGAGAGCUUGCUGCCCCCGUUCUAGAUCGGAAGCGUCGGCUGGGGUUGGGACUACUGCAAGACAGAGAGAGAUGAGACGACGAAAAGAGAAGAAUCAGGGAAGUGAGGCGGAGAGAGGAGCAGGGGCACCGGCGCGGAUGCAGGGAGCUACUGGUCGCGGACGCUGGCAUCUGCCGGCUCUGGACGCGUCCAACAUACAAAGUAGAAGGUGGCUCGGGGCAAGCUUCUUGCUGGUUGGGCAGGGGAACGAGAUCCUGAGGAAACAGGAGGAGUGGCGGCGGCGGUGAUGGGACAAGAUCCCUAGGAAUUAGGGCUGAACCUCUUUUUAUAUAAAGCUAUUGAAUUGGGCUAGAGUCUAUCAGGACCCUCCGAUGCAGAUCAGACGAUCGAAAAUAACUAGGUUAGGGAGUCCAAUGGACAAACCGAUGAUGGUUUGCGGUAUUACGGGGUUGAACCGGAUCCAACGGUCACAACCGUGUGUUUCGGGCACCGGGAGGUUUCGGACUGGGCUGCGCGUAGGGACGAAGCACUGUGCACAUGGGCUACGCGGAGAUGAGAGGGAAAACGGCACCCGACAACGUAAUUCUCACGACACCGAGAAACGUCCGACGAUAGACCGAAUAUGGUGCCGCUACGGUCGACCGUUCGGGUACCAGACGGACUCCGAUCGCGACGAAAUUCGACAGGCGGCCUAGCUAUAUUAAAAUAACACCACACGUCAAAUCUCACCCCAAUCAGAGAAAGUUUUAUGCACACUUUUAAAACAAGGUUUGACAAUGCCGCGGGCGCGUGCGUGUGUGAACGGGCUCAGAACGAACAAUGACGAGAACCGGCAACUAACAACGGAUGCAAUUUUUGAAAACUGGCGGCAACGGGGUGCCGAUGCAAUGUUGAUGAUGCGCAUGAUGCGAUGAUGAUGCGACAAAAUAAAAUAGACACACAACGAAAAUGGAAAGGAAACUGGAAUCUUCUGGAACGUCGGCAUCGGGCUGUCACAACUCUCCUACACUACAAGAGGAUCUCGCCCCGAGAUCCAAGAAUGAAAGGAGGAGAGGAUGAGAAAGAAGAAGAGGUAAAAACUUAGUCGCUUCUUUGACAAACGAGUGAAACGAACGAUCCUUGAAGGUUGCAAAGAGAUGAGGAAUGAUAUGAGAAAGAAGCAAGAAUUCACAGAAAAUUUCGGCAGCACUUCGGUAGGAAAAUGGGACAAAAAAUUCGAAAAGAUAGGAGAAUUAGAUAAUAUUCAUAACAAACAAGUAAAUAGAGCAAGGGAACACCAUGAUCUUGAUAGAACAAGAUUCUAGACCCAAAAGAGCAAUAUCACAAUGCCUCCGGAACAAUAGAAUAGGAACUAGCUCAUACGGAGUAAGAGAAUGAAAAAAAGAAUGACAACUACUAUCUCAAAUUAACUUGGCAAGAAAAAUUGAACAUAGUUGUUGUUAAAACAACAACGAGAAGAACAAGAUAGAAGUGGGCUUAUGGAAACCUUUUCAAACUAAUGAAGUGACAACCAGCCACUAACAGAAACAAGGAUCGUUUUGGGAAACAAGAUAAGCAAAACUUCUUACACCAAGAGGAUACAUUGAGAACUUGGAUUAAUGACAAGUACCAUGAUAGCAACAAUCCAUAGGAAAAGCUUUAGGUGAAAUCCAAACCAAGAUAGCUCAAUGAAGAAAUCAUGGGUUGAAAAUAUCUCAUGAUCAUAGAAUUGGUGGUUUUAAUUAUCUCAUACUUGCGAGGAAAACUCUUCGAGGCUCCUACACUAACAAGAAUGCUAUAAUACCACCUCAAGGAAUAAAGGAGAACAAUUGCACAUAGAAAUGCAAGAUAAAAGAUACUUGAGGUGCUCCAACAAGAAUCUUGAAGAACACUUUAGAAUGAAUAACACCUUGAAGAACGACCAUGACGAGCCCCCGUAACAAAAGGAUGAUGCAAAGAUAAGAAGGAUGAAAGAAUAAGAUUGAAGCCUUGCAAAGACUUCGAUUAAGCUUCACGAAGAGAUACUUGAGAGAACUUGGAACUCCGGAAAAGAAAGAUAAGAAAACUUGAUAAAAGAAUUGAUAUCGUGAGCCACUCCAGAAGAAGAAUUCAGAUUACUAUGAACAAGAAUAAGAAUUACGUUAUGCUUAUCCUUCAUCAAGUUAAACUGAUGACAAGCAACGGAUUUAGCAAACCACUUAAUCUUCUUCAAAUGAUUGAGGAAAGAUAUGAGCACAAACUAUAAGAAUUGUUGCAAGAAACACCGGCGAGAAUUGAAAUGAACGAGGCAACCAUGAAUGACUGGAGAUACAAGAGAAUGAAGAGAUCAUGAGCCACCUGAGAGAAAACAAGAAGAAGGCACCGGAAUAAUUGAGAGACAAACGAAGAGACAACAAUUGAGAAGAAUUGAGGACGAAAGCUGAAAGCUGAGAACGAAGAAUCUUCUGAAAUGAUGGCCUUCGGAGGAACGAGAAAUAAAAACAACUCAGAAAAGCACCGGAUAGCAAGAAAUGAAUCACUCAUGAAAGAAACAAUUGAGAGGAUAUCACGAAGCUGAGAUGACAAUCUUCACAAGAAUGGAGCAAGAUUUGAGAGAAACACUCCUUCAGAUUUGCAAGCCAAGAAUGAUGACAAGAAACAACACCAAGAAUACCGAGACACUCCGGAAUAAUGAAGAAUGCAAGGUUGAGCCCAAUAUGAGAAUUGAUUGAAAUAGAUCUUGACGAAGGGAUAUGACUGAUGAAAUUCAUACUUACGUCAUAGUUGAAAAGAAUUAAAGAUCUCCGGAAGAUUACAAGAGCUAUAACAGAUCCUGGGAAAAACCUGUGGGUUAUGGGCCCACUCAAAGAAACCACCAUUAGAAAAGAUUGCUAGAUCGAGAGAUAUUGCACCGGUAUGAAGAGAGCUAGAUGAGGUUAGCACCUCGAAAUAAUUAAAAGAAUUGAAAACGAGAAACUACUGAAAUAUCUUCAACGCUCCGGAUGAAAAGAGAGGAAUGAAAAACAAGAUAGGCUCAUAAGAAUUUAACAUAGGAAAGAAUUACAAGGAUGAAAAGGAUGUGAUGAAUCACGGACAACUGAAUUAAAAUCACCGGAAAAGAUGACAAGAAUGAAUAAAGAUGAACAUGAAUCUCCUGAGAAUGUUCACCAUGAAUCACCGGUUACGAAAGGAAGAAGAGAUAGCGGAAGCAUCACUGAAAUGAAAUGCAGUUGGAUGAAAUCCAAUCACUGAAGAAAAAGGGCGGGAGGGCGGGAAAAACAAAGACAACUUGGGACAGAUAAGAUGAACUCCGGAAUAAAUGAGAGUACGAUCUUGCAAAAUUCGGAAAUGAUAGAAUUCACUUGGAGAGAAACACACCGGUUGAAAAGAAUUAACAUGACGACUCCGGUUGACAAGAAUUGAUAUGACAAUUGAUUGAGCAAAGAAUUAGCAUUCACAAAAAAAAUAUGAGAACACAGAUUAGGAAAGAUCUGAAAUCAUCACUUGACAUCGAAGCAACACGAAUUACCACAUUCAACAAAACAAAGGGUGCAUCUUGCAAUUAGCCAGAACAAACUCAUGAGAAAGGUUUCGUCCGAUAUUUUCGUGGACAGGAAUCCACUAGAUGUCGAACCCCAACCUAACAUCAUGCAUUUGUUGGAAGAUUGUCCUGUAAGCAACUACUUGAAGUCCCACCUAAGAAUUCCCGAAAUUUCUGGUCAUGCAAUCUGGUACACGGAUACAAGGAGUAAUAAUCACACAACUCCUAUCCUAACCCGUCACCUGUAUCACAUCCGUCAACACACGGCCAAAAUCUCGGACCUUCAUCUACAACAGACCCUCGUGAUCACAAUGAUAUGAAGCAUGGCAGUACCCCUGAACAAUCUGCACCAGUACUGGGGACAUCGGGGUUAUCUCGCCACUACUAGUAUUGAAGCAAUUACGAACAUCCUUCGUUCUGAGAUACUAAGAAAUCUGAAUGAUAACGAUGUGCUCAAGAAUCCCCUGGAGCUCAACUCCCCUGAAACUUAAAUCAUAUAGGAGGCACCAAGACAGAACUCCUUCACAUCGCCAUCAUAUAGAUCGCAAGAAUAUCCGCGUGAUCCUAAAAAAAAUGAGUGAGAAGAGGAGGAGAAUUAAAUUAUUAUGUCAAGAUUCCUCACCAGAGCAUAGAAGAGGAGAAAAAAGAAUCCUACUCUCCGGUAUAUAACUAGACUCAAAGCAGUUUUUCACUAGACUCGACUCGGCCAAGUUCGAUCAAUCAAGGGGGCUCCUAGGUCGGUACAGCUCUGAUACCAACUUGUCACGGCCAAGAUGCGACCCUAUCCUCGAUUUGGCACGAAGGCCUCGUCAGGGAUAGAAGCGCAUCUCGUCGUGUCGCAAGAAUGAAUAUCGUUACAAGUACAUGUACGGAAAAGAUGAGAUAUAUAAUAGAAUUGGCUUACACUCGCCACAAGCUACAUCAGAGUCACAUCAGUACAUUACAUAAUCAUCAAGAGUAAUAGCAGGGUCCGACUAAGGAUGAAAACAAACGACUAAAGAAGAACGACGUCCAUCUUUGCUAUCCCAGGCUGCCGGCCUGGAACCCAUCCUAGAUCGAUGAAGAAGAAGAAGAAGCAACUCCAAAUGAACAAUCAACGCGCUCGCGUCAAAUAACCUUACAUGUACCUGCAACGGGUGUUGUAGUAAUCUGUGAGCCACAGGGGACUUAGCAAUCUCAUUUCCAAANNNNNNNNNNNNNNNNNNNNNNNNNNNNNNNNNNNNNNNNNNNNNNNNNNNNNUAUUUAACAUGUGGUAGGCAAUGAGACAUAAUCGAUAGCAUCGAAAUAACUAGCAUUGCAAUGAUAGUAAUGGUAUCUGGGGAAAUGGUCAUCUUGCCUGAGAUCACGCUUGGAAGAAGAACGACUCCGUGAAGCAGACGAACCGAUGUAGUCGAACGGGUCCUCACUUUCCGACACGCUUGCGGAACUCUAUCGAGACGAAGGAAACCGGAAACAAGAAUCAACAAACGAUAUACACCACACGAUGCAAGACACACAUGAUGCAUGAACGGUCUAAUGCAAGGCAUGACAAUCACAACAAUCAAACACUACACAUUAAGUGAAGCUUGGUAUGCAACGGGUUGCAUAUCGACGAAACUCCAUAUUUAAUUAUUAGUUCACUCCCGUUUAUUUACACGACAAUAUUAAAAUGUUGUUAACAUGGCACGGGGUGAAGCACAAAUUAAACUACCUAUCUAGGCAUUUUAAAUGACGCCGAAAACGACAUAUAGCAUCUCCGAAAUGACCCCACGUGUUAAAUUCUAAUUCUGUCCAGAUUUGUCCUAAUCACAUUUUAAGUUUGUUAAACAGAAAAACAAAGUGGUUCACAUGAUUCUACUCGUCGUUCUGCACCAUUUACAUAUAUGUCACAUCUCCAACGGAGCUACGGACAAAUAGUUACGAUCUAAACCGUUUCAACACAUCGACACGCAAACCGAUCCAAACAGCACACCAAAUAGUUCGAAUUAUGCAUGAGAGUUCGAAAAUAUUAAUCUACGCCAAAUUCUUGUCAAGUUACAUAUUUGAAUCUUUCCGAUCCGAUGCACGGUUGAAACGUUAUGGACGUUUUAAAACAGUGGCAUUUACUCUAAAAAUGCAAACACAUAUGUUGCAACAAAAGUGCAGAAACACACUAAUAUGUUGGGCUCGCUGCAUUAAAAAAAUGUGAAGCGAGGGAUUCGAACCAUAGUCUAUGGAGUAGAAAUGUGUGACGCUGGCCACUAGGCUAGACCUGUGAUCGUGGCUAAGUUGCAGGUGUGGGCUAGGUGUAGCGCUACGUGAAGCACAACCUUCAGCUAAUCUGACCCAAAAAAAUUAACGAAACUAGGCAUGGCGCGGCUGGGAUUCGAACCACAGACCUCAUGGUCCAGGCGCGGAUCGGCUACCAGCUAGGCUAGCAACAAGCUUGUGAGAUAAAACAACACCGAGGCUAUCUAUUAGUAAUCCUUCGGACGUUUUACAGGAAACCCAAAAAAAUACAGGAACAACCUGCAUAGACAGCACGAUGCGGGGCUUCAGUUCGUCAGGAACGAGCUGGUGGCAGCACGGGCGACUAGAGGGGCGGCUCUGACGGGGCUCUUCGCCGGCGGGCCGGGUAGAUCCGGUCGAGGGGGUCCCAGAUCCGAGCUUGAUGACGACUCCGAUCGCCGGUAGCGGCACAUCGAGGUACAACUUGAAGGACCUCGGUGCCUCCAUGGCUGCUCCAGAUUGCAACGGGGGAGAGAGAGAUAUUCAGACAAGUUGUAAGGAGCAGGAGGAAGGAAAUGGAAGAUGGGGAGGGAGGACGACCUUCUGGGCACCGGUGACGCGGGGGGUCCGGCGAAGACGCGGCCUAGCCGCCGGCUACGGGUCCAAUGGCCGGCUCUGACGCUGCGAGCUCCGUUCGUUCCCUGACAGAGAAGGGAAAAAAACCAGGAGAGAGAGAGAGAGA
RNAcentral lists this long non-coding RNA (6867 nucleotides) under Hordeum vulgare. RNAcentral describes it as "long non-coding RNA (HVUL_LNC011723)". The record is from RNAcentral. Lineage: Eukaryota; Viridiplantae; Streptophyta; Magnoliopsida; Poales; Poaceae.